GUAGCUUAGCCAGGUAGAGCGACGGACUUUUAAUCCGUUGGCCGGGGGUUCAAAUCCCC
This 59-nucleotide transfer RNA is filed under the name Methanobacteriota archaeon. RNAcentral describes it as "Euryarchaeota archaeon tRNA-Lys". It matches the Rfam family "tRNA", at positions 7 to 62 of the family's 71-position model. From Rfam's summary of the family: Transfer RNA (tRNA) molecules are approximately 80 nucleotides in length. The record is from RNAcentral. Lineage: Archaea; Methanobacteriati; Methanobacteriota.